This 448-nucleotide ribosomal RNA is filed under the name uncultured bacterium. RNAcentral describes it as "partial 16S ribosomal RNA". It matches the Rfam family "Bacterial small subunit ribosomal RNA", at positions 330 to 792 of the family's 1533-position model. The record is from RNAcentral.
UCCAGACUCCUACGGGAGGCAGCAGUGGGGAAUAUUGCACAAUGGGGGAAACCCUGAUGCAGCGACGCCGCGUGAGCGAAGAAGUAUUUCGGUAUGUAAAGCUCUCUCAGCAGGGAAGAAAAAAAUGACGGUACCUGAGUAAGAAGCACCGGCUAAAUACGUGCCAGCAGCCGCGGUAAUACGUAUGGUGCAAGCGUUAUCCGGAUUUACUGGGUGUAAAGGGAGCGUAGGCGGCGCGUUAAGUCUGAUGUGAAAACCCGAGGCUCAACCACGGGAGUGCAUUGGAAACUGGCGGGCUGGAGUGCCGGAGAGGUAAGCGGAAUUCCUAGUGUAGCGGUGAAAUGCGUAGAUAUUAGGAGGAACACCAGUGGCGAAGGCGGCUUACUGGACGGCAACUGACGCUGAGGCUCGAAAGCGUGGGGAGCAAACAGGAUUAGAUACCCUGGUA